This 638-nucleotide ribosomal RNA is filed under the name uncultured bacterium. RNAcentral describes it as "bacterial SSU rRNA". The stretch from base 1 to 534 matches the Rfam family "Bacterial small subunit ribosomal RNA", at positions 338 to 873 of the family's 1533-position model. The record is from RNAcentral.
CCUACGGGAGGCAGCAGUGAGGAAUAUUGGACAAUGGGCGCAAGCCUGAUCCAGCCAUGCCGCGUGCAGGAUGACGGUCCUAUGGAUUGUAAACUGCUUUUGUACAGGAAGAAACACCUCUACGUGUAGAGACUUGACGGUACUGUAAGAAUAAGGAUCGGCUAACUCCGUGCCAGCAGCCGCGGUAAUACGGAGGAUCCAAGCGUUAUCCGGAAUCAUUGGGUUUAAAGGGUCCGUAGGCGGUUUAGUAAGUCAGUGGUGAAAGCCCAUCGCUCAACGGUGGAACGGCCAUUGAUACUGCUAAACUUGAAUUAUUAGGAAGUAACUAGAAUAUGUAGUGUAGCGGUGAAAUGCUUAGAGAUUACAUGGAAUACCAAUUGCGAAGGCAGGUUACUACUAAUGGAUUGACGCUGAUGGACGAAAGCGUGGGUAGCGAACAGGAUUAGAUACCCUGGUAGUCCACGCCGUAAACGAUGGAUACUAGCUGUUGGGAAGNAUACUCAGUGNGUAGAGAAGUAGAGUAAGUAUACCACCGUCGGGAGGUACGGUUCGUCGAAGAAGUAGAAACGUACGAAAGUAAGUAAGUUAGGUACGUACGUAGAGUACGACGACGGACGACGACGACGGAGGGAGGGAGG